UGCAGUCGAGCGCACCCCUUCGGGGGCGAGCGGCGGACGGGUUAGUAACGCGUGGGAACAUACCCUUUACUACGGAAUAGCCUCGGGAAACUGAGAGUAAUACCGUAUGUGCCCUUCGGGGGAAAGAUUUAUCGGUAAAGGAUUGGCCCGCGUUAGAUUAGAUAGUUGGUGGGGUAAUGGCCUACCAAGUCUACGAUCUAUAGCUGGUUUUAGAGGAUGAUCAGCAACACUGGGACUGAGACACGGCCCAGACUCCUACGGGAGGCAGCAGUGGGGAAUCUUAGACAAUGGGCGCAAGCCUGAUCUAGCCAUGCCGCGUGUGUGAUGAAGGCCUUAGGGUCGUAAAGCACUUUCGCCAGAGAUGAUAAUGACAGUAUCUGGUAAAGAAACCCCGGCUAACUCCGUGCCAGCAGCCGCGGUAAUACGGAGGGGGUUAGCGUUGUUCGGAAUUACUGGGCGUAAAGCGUACGUAGGCGGAUCAGAAAGUAUGGGGUGAAAUCCCAGGGCUCAACCCUGGAACUGCCUCAUAAACUCCUGGUCUUGAGUUCGAGAGAGGUGAGUGGAAUUCCAAGUGUAGAGGUGAAAUUCGUAGAUAUUUGGAGGAACACCAGUGGCGAAGGCGGCUCACUGGCUCGAUACUGACGCUGAGGUACGAAAGUGUGGGGAGCAAACAGGAUUAGAUACCCUGGUAGUCCACACCGUAAACGAUGAAUGCCAGUCGUCGGGCAGUAUACUGUUCGGUGACACACCUAACGGAUUAAGCAUUCCGCCUGGGGAGUACGGUCGCAAGAUUAAAACUCAAAGGAAUUGAC
This 812-nucleotide ribosomal RNA is filed under the name Sulfitobacter sp. SJ1796. RNAcentral's name for it is "bacterial SSU rRNA". It matches the Rfam family "Bacterial small subunit ribosomal RNA", at positions 56 to 914 of the family's 1533-position model. The record is from RNAcentral. Lineage: Bacteria; Pseudomonadati; Pseudomonadota; Alphaproteobacteria; Rhodobacterales; Roseobacteraceae.